This 81-nucleotide transfer RNA is filed under the name Termitomyces sp. T159_Od127. Its description in RNAcentral is "tRNA-Ala". It matches the Rfam family "tRNA". From Rfam's summary of the family: Transfer RNA (tRNA) molecules are approximately 80 nucleotides in length. Their secondary structure includes four short double-helical elements and three loops (D, anti-codon, and T loops). Further hydrogen bonds mediate the characteristic L-shaped molecular structure. tRNAs have two regions of fundamental functional importance: the anti-codon, which is responsible for specific mRNA codon recognition, and the 3' end, to which the tRNAs corresponding amino acid is attached (by aminoacyl-tRNA synthetases). tRNAs cope with the degeneracy of the genetic code in two manners: having more than one tRNA (with a specific anti-codon) for a particular amino acid; and 'wobble' base-pairing, i.e. permitting non-standard base-pairing at the 3rd anti-codon position. The record is from RNAcentral. Lineage: Eukaryota; Fungi; Basidiomycota; Agaricomycetes; Agaricales; Lyophyllaceae.
GGGCAUAUGGUGUAGCUGGUUAUCACGCUCGCUUUGCAUCACAGUUGCGAGUGGUCUCCGGUUCGAUUCCGGAUGUGUCCA